AGUGAACGCUGGCGGUAGGCCUAACACAUGCAAGUCGAACGGCAGCACAGUAAGAGCUUGCUCUUACGGGUGGCGAGUGGCGGACGGGUGAGGAAUACAUCGGAAUCUACUUUUUCGUGGGGGAUAACGUAGGGAAACUUACGCUAAUACCGCAUACGACCUACGGGUGAAAGCAGGGGAUCUUCGGACCUUGCGCGAUUGAAUGAGCCGAUGUCGGAUUGGCUAGUUGGCGGGGUAAAGGCCCACCAAGGCGACGAUCCGUAGCUGGUCUGAGAGGAUGAUCAGCCACACUGGAACUGGGACACGCUCCAGACUCCUACGGGAGGCAGCAGUGGGGAAUAUUGGACAAUGGGCGCAAGCCUGAUCCAGCCAUACCGCGUGGGUGGAAGAGGCCUUCGGGUUGUGAAGCCCUUUUGUUGGGAAAGAAAAGCAGCAGGUUAAUACCCCGCUGUUCUGACGGUACCCAAAGAAUAAGCACCGGCUAACUUCGUG
Molecule: ribosomal RNA, 492 nt
Filed under: uncultured bacterium
Lineage: Bacteria
Description: partial 16S ribosomal RNA
Rfam family: Bacterial small subunit ribosomal RNA
Source: RNAcentral